This 509-nucleotide ribosomal RNA is filed under the name uncultured bacterium. Its description in RNAcentral is "bacterial SSU rRNA". It matches the Rfam family "Bacterial small subunit ribosomal RNA", at positions 15 to 518 of the family's 1533-position model. The record is from RNAcentral.
GAUCAUGGCUCAGGACGAACGCUAGCGGCAGGCUUAACACAUGCAAGUCGAGGGGCAGCGCGAGUAGCAAUACUUGGCGGCGACCGGCGCAAGGGUGCGUAACGCGUGAGCAACAUGCCCGUAUCAGGGGGAUAAUCCAGGGAAACUUGGUCUAAUACCCCAUAGUAAUUUUGUAAGGCAUCUUAUAAGAUUUAAAGCUUUGGUGGAUACGGAUUGGCUCGCGUGACAUUAGCUGGAUGGUAAGGUAACGGCUUACCAUGGCUAUGAUGUCUAGGGGUUCUGAGAGGAAGGUCCCCCACACUGGAACUGAGACACGGUCCAGACUCCUACGGGAGGCAGCAGUGAGGAAUAUUGGACAAUGGAUGGAAAUCUGAUCCAGCCAUGCCGCGUGAAAGGAAGAAGGUCCUAUGGAUUGUAAACUUCUUUUGUAUGGGAGCAAUAAGGCCUACGAGUAGGUUGAUGAGAGUACCAUACGAAUAAGCACCGGCUAACUCCGUGCCAGCCGCCGC